RNAcentral lists this ribosomal RNA (424 nucleotides) under uncultured bacterium. RNAcentral describes it as "partial 16S ribosomal RNA". It matches the Rfam family "Bacterial small subunit ribosomal RNA", at positions 360 to 776 of the family's 1533-position model. The record is from RNAcentral.
AAUAUUGGACAAUGGGCGCAAGCCUGAUCCAGCCAUACCGCGUGGGUGAAGAAGGCCUUCGGGUUGUAAAGCCCUUUUGUUGGGAAAGAAAUCCAGCUGGUUAAUACUCGUGUGGGAUGACGGUACCCAAAGAAUAAGCACCGGCUAACUUCGUGCCAGCAGCCGCGGUAAUACGAAGGGUGCAAGCGUUACUCGGAAUUACUGGGCGUAAAGCGUGCGUAGGUGGUCGUUUAAGUCCGUUGUGAAAGCCCUGGGCUCAACCUGGGAACUGCAGUGGAUACUGGGCGACUAGAAUGUGGUAGAGGGUAGCGGAAUUCCUGGUGUAGCAGUGAAAUGCGUAGAGAUCAGGAGGAACAUCCAUGGCGAAGGCAGCCCCCUGGGAUAAUACUGACGCUCAGACACGAAAGCGUGGGGAGCAAACAGG